UCGUUAGGUGUCUGGUUUGCUUUUUGGAGAUGUUCUGCACCCCCUAUAAAAACAUAAAAUGCUAAUGGAGCAGCUAUCAUAUUCACAUCUUUCGAAGAAAAGAUUAAAAAACAAAUGGAAAACCUGCUUACCGGUUGAUCAGGCGAAAAUUUUCGAACCCCGCAGGUCGGAUCUUUCCCACCAUCGCCCCAGCCUAAUUUCAACAGUUGUAUUGUUGAUCAGAGCCGAACUCUGUCUGAUCAACAAAUCUUAACCGCCCAUUUCACUCACCAUUGACUCUUUAGUCAUAUUUCUUCUCUGUUUCUCGAUUUCUCGGUAGAGCUAAGUCGUCGACUCUUCUUCAACAGUUCAUGCUAUGGCACCUAUGAAGAGCAUAUUUUCCCUGCGAAGAGCAGUGUUGGCUCAGCAUUGCAGUGAGAGGUGGGGUCUGGGCUUUAGAUUACUCAGCACUCAAGGUGCAUCUGGAAGUCCUCCACAAGGAGCAUCAACUGCUGGUACUCCCCAACCUCCUCCACCUCCCCCACCCCCAGAGAAAACCCAUUUUGGUGGCCUGAAAGAUGAGGACAGGAUUUUCACCAAUUUAUAUGGAUUGCAUGACCCUUUUCUCAAAGGUGCCAUGAAACGAGGUGAUUGGUAUAGAACCAAAGACUUGGUACUCAAGGGUGCUGAUUGGAUUGUGAAUGAGAUGAAAAAAUCUGGUCUUCGAGGACGUGGUGGUGCCGGUUUCCCAUCUGGCCUGAAGUGGUCCUUUAUGCCAAAAGUAUCUGAUGGUCGGCCUUCAUAUCUUGUUGUCAAUGCUGAUGAAAGUGAGCCUGGAACCUGUAAAGACAGGGAAAUUAUGCGGCAUGAUCCACACAAAUUGUUGGAGGGUUGCUUGAUUGCAGGUGUAGGGAUGAGGGCUACAGCUGCUUACAUUUACAUUAGGGGUGAAUAUGUAAAUGAACGUAAAAACCUUGAGAAAGCUAGAAAAGAAGCAUAUGCUGCAGGACUAUUGGGCAAGAAUGCAUGUGGAUCUGGUUAUGAUUUUGAUGUUCAUAUCCAUUAUGGUGCCGGUGCUUACAUUUGUGGUGAAGAGACAGCUCUUUUGGAAAGUCUUGAAGGCAAACAAGGGAAACCAAGAUUGAAGCCUCCUUUCCCUGCUAAUGCAGGUUUAUAUGGUUGCCCCACCACUGUCACAAAUGUGGAAACUGUGGCUGUUUCUCCUACCAUUUUAAGGCGUGGGCCAGAGUGGUUCGCCAGUUUUGGCAGGAAGAACAAUUCUGGUACAAAAUUAUUUUGUGUGUCAGGUCAUGUGAAUAAACCUUGCACAGUUGAAGAGGAGAUGAGUAUACCCCUGAAGGAGUUGAUUGAAAGGCACUGUGGCGGUGUUCGAGGUGGAUGGGAUAAUUUACUUGCUAUUAUACCUGGAGGUUCAUCGGUUCCACUGCUUCCCAAGCACAUAUGUGAUGAUGUGUUGAUGGAUUUUGAUGCUCUCAAGGCUGUUCAGUCAGGAUUGGGGACUGCUGCUGUUAUUGUUAUGGAUAAAUCAACUGAUGUUGUGGAUGCAAUUGCAAGGCUCUCUUAUUUUUACAAGCAUGAAAGCUGUGGGCAGUGCACACCGUGUAGGGAGGGAACAGGAUGGCUUUGGAUGAUCAUGGAAAGGUUGAAGGUUGGAAAUGCUAAGUUUGAAGAGAUCGAUAUGCUUCAAGAGGUGACCAAGCAGAUUGAAGGGCACACAAUCUGUGCAUUGGGUGAUGCUGCUGCUUGGCCUGUUCAGGGUCUCAUACGGCAUUUUAGACCUGAGCUGGAGAGAAGGAUUAGGGAGCAUGCAGAGAGGGAGUUGCUGGCAGCUACUGCUUAAGUUUAUUUUUCUAUUCAGGCAUUUGGAAUGUACAGCGUUCUCUGGAAGACCUAUGGGGUUAAAAAGGAGUUUCUAUACUGGUGGAUAUCCUGGAAUAAAAGUGGAGAAACUAGGCCAGAUGUUGAGAGGAUGGGUGAUUCAGAUAUCUGGUGAUCCUUCUAGUGAUCUGUUUGUUUUUCUAUGCUGUAUCAGCUAUGACUGCAUUUACUGUCCUGGAGAGAUGAUGAUUUUUCCUCCACCUGGGCAUGGAUACUUUAAACUCUGAUGUGUCUCUUAAACAUGUCUUUCUGGUAAAAUUUAAUGAACUUUGUUAAUAACAUCUGUAUUUUUCAAAAUUACUCAAUCAUUUGAUGACAAA
Mangifera indica (mango) is the source of this 2198-nucleotide RNA transcript. It is a transcript of the gene named NADH dehydrogenase [ubiquinone] flavoprotein 1, mitochondrial-like, with no coding region annotated. The transcript has 5 exons. Lineage: Eukaryota; Viridiplantae; Streptophyta; Magnoliopsida; Sapindales; Anacardiaceae. The record is from RefSeq and is a predicted model, not a curated record.